AUACUUACCUGGCGGGGAGACACCAUGAUCAUGAAGGUAGUUUUCCCAAGGUGAAGCUUAUGCAUUGCAUUUGGGAUGUGCUGACUCCUGCAAUUUCCCCAAAUGUGGGAAACUCGACUGCAUAAUUUGUGAUAGUGUAGGACUGUAUUUGCUCUAUCCCCUG
Small nuclear RNA from Sorex fumeus (smoky shrew), 163 nucleotides. RefSeq annotates it as U1 spliceosomal RNA. The transcript has a single exon. The record is from RefSeq and is a predicted model, not a curated record. Lineage: Eukaryota; Metazoa; Chordata; Mammalia; Eulipotyphla; Soricidae.